This is a long non-coding RNA of Haliotis rubra (blacklip abalone), 124 nucleotides long. RefSeq lists it as uncharacterized. NCBI's taxonomy places the organism in Eukaryota, Metazoa, Mollusca, Gastropoda, Lepetellida, Haliotidae. The transcript is spliced from 4 exons. The record is from RefSeq and is a predicted model, not a curated record.
AGUAGAACUGCAGUAUUUUACCUUCGGUUCGGUAUACCGUAAUGCAAUGCCAAAAUUCAGUAUUUCGGUUUUCGUAUCGACAUUUUAUUCACCUUUUUAUUUGACAGUUUUGUUCCUUCAAAAU